This 64-nucleotide transfer RNA is filed under the name Mesembrinella sp. ACMJ-2016. RNAcentral describes it as "tRNA-His". The record is from RNAcentral. Lineage: Eukaryota; Metazoa; Arthropoda; Insecta; Diptera; Calliphoridae.
AUUUAAAUAGUUUAAUUAAAAUAUUGAUUUGUGGUGUCAAUGAUAAGAGAAUUCUUUUUAAAUU